RNAcentral lists this ribosomal RNA (721 nucleotides) under Actinomycetes bacterium. RNAcentral's name for it is "bacterial SSU rRNA". It matches the Rfam family "Bacterial small subunit ribosomal RNA", at positions 140 to 873 of the family's 1533-position model. Lineage: Bacteria; Bacillati; Actinomycetota; Actinomycetes. The record is from RNAcentral.
GGGACAAGCCCUGGAAACGGGGUCUAAUACCGGAUAACACUCCUGCAGGCAUCUGUGGGGGUUAAAAGCUCCGGCGGUGAAGGAUGAGCCCGCGGCCUAUCAGCUUGUUGGUGAGGUAGUGGCUCACCAAGGCGACGACGGGUAGCCGGCCUGAGAGGGCGACCGGCCACACUGGGACUGAGACACGGCCCAGACUCCUACGGGAGGCAGCAGUGGGGAAUAUUGCACAAUGGGCGAAAGCCUGAUGCAGCGACGCCGCGUGAGGGAUGACGGCCUUCGGGUUGUAAACCUCUUUCAGCAGGGAAGAAGCGAAAGUGACGGUACCUGCAGAAGAAGCGCCGGCUAACUACGUGCCAGCAGCCGCGGUAAUACGUAGGGCGCAAGCGUUGUCCGGAAUUAUUGGGCGUAAAGAGCUCGUAGGCGGUCUGUCGCGUCGGAUGUGAAAGCCCGGGGCUUAACCCCGGGUCUGCAUUCGAUACGGGCAGACUAGAGUGUGGUAGGGGAGAUCGGAAUUCCUGGUGUAGCGGUGAAAUGCGCAGAUAUCAGGAGGAACACCGGUGGCGAAGGCGGAUCUCUGGGCCAUUACUGACGCUGAGGAGCGAAAGCGUGGGGAGCGAACAGGAUUAGAUACCCUGGUAGUCCACGCCGUAAACGGUGGGAACUAGGUGUUGGCGACAUUCCACGUCGUCGGUGCCGCAGCUAACGCAUUAAGUUCCCCGCC